UACGUACUGGGCGAACGUUAUUCGGAAUCACUGGGCUUAAAGGGUGCGUAGGCGGUUUAGUAAGUAGCGUGUGAAAUGCCAGGGCUCAACCUUGGCACGGCGCUCUAAACUGCUAAACUUGAGUGAGGUAGGGGUGUACGGAACUUCCGGUGGAGCGGUGAAAUGCGUUGAUAUCGGAAGGAACACCGGUGGCGAAAGCGGUACACUGGGUCUAAACUGACGCUGAGGCACGAAAGCUAGGGUAGCGAACGGG
RNAcentral lists this unclassified non-coding RNA (253 nucleotides) under uncultured Planctomycetales bacterium. RNAcentral describes it as "contains 16S-23S intergenic spacer region". It matches the Rfam family "Bacterial small subunit ribosomal RNA", at positions 524 to 776 of the family's 1533-position model. Lineage: Bacteria; Pseudomonadati; Planctomycetota; Planctomycetia; Planctomycetales. The record is from RNAcentral.